CAGUGCAAUAUCUGAGCUCCUUCUACAAUGUUACUUCAAUGUUAUUUCACCUCACAAGGUAAAACAGAUGGUUAUUAUUACUGACCUUUCCCAUAACUUCAGAGAACACCUGGAACGCACCAAGGUUGGAAAGAUUGCCUCAUAAGAGACUUCGUAUCAUUGGCUGUUCAGGAUCCCAAUGGUGUUGCCACCAAAAGGUUGACCAAAGCAGAGAAGAAACAACUAAUCCAUAUUCAGCAUUAUGUCAUCAGUACCUUCCCAGAAAUAGGCAGCAUGUUCUCCUUGAGGGGUAUAGUACUGGGUUCUAGGGGGAAUCACUGUAUAACACAUCCAGAUGAACAUUCCAUCAGUUUGACAGCUCUCCAGCACUGAAACCUCUUCCUUGGCCCU
RNAcentral lists this long non-coding RNA (390 nucleotides) under Cyanistes caeruleus (blue tit). Its description in RNAcentral is "lncRNA (ENSCCEG00000006619.1)". Lineage: Eukaryota; Metazoa; Chordata; Aves; Passeriformes; Paridae. The record is from RNAcentral.